This 270-nucleotide long non-coding RNA is filed under the name Hordeum vulgare. RNAcentral's name for it is "long non-coding RNA (HVUL_LNC015106)". The record is from RNAcentral. Lineage: Eukaryota; Viridiplantae; Streptophyta; Magnoliopsida; Poales; Poaceae.
CAGAAACAGAGUCCAGUUAAGUUCAGUUAUCCAACAGUGCAGACCCUCUCCUCGCGUACCGCUUCGUCGAGAGCCGUAGGAUAUUUACUGUAGUAAGUCCAUUGUCGGGCUGUAGCGUUUCUUACCCUUUUCGGUAAAACCUUUGAGCCUAUUAAUAGCUGCCGGGAUGUGGCUAGCUGAACAUGAUUUUAUCUUCCUCCUUGUCUGAGAACAAGCAUAUACUGGGAAUAUACGUUAGCUCGGGAGAACUUUCCCCUUUCCUUCCUAAAU